CAGCCGCCGCGGUAAUACGAAGGGUGCAAGCGUUAAUCGGAAUUACUGGGCGUAAAGCGUGCGUAGGCGGUGAGUUAAGUCUGCUGUGAAAUCCCCGGGCUCAACCUGGGAAUGGCAGUGGAUACUGGCUCGCUAGAGUGUGUCGGAGGAUGGUGGAAUUCCCGGUGUAGCGGUGAAAUGCGUAGAGAUCGGGAGGAGCAUCAGUGGCGAAGGCGGCCAUCUGGGACAACACUGACGCUGAGGCACGAAAGCGUGGGGAGCAAACAGGAUUAGAUACCCCAGUAGUCCCUGUCUCUUAUAC
This 301-nucleotide ribosomal RNA is filed under the name uncultured bacterium. RNAcentral describes it as "partial 16S ribosomal RNA". It matches the Rfam family "Bacterial small subunit ribosomal RNA", at positions 509 to 807 of the family's 1533-position model. The record is from RNAcentral.